Long non-coding RNA from Apodemus sylvaticus (European woodmouse), 1469 nucleotides. RefSeq lists it as uncharacterized. Lineage: Eukaryota; Metazoa; Chordata; Mammalia; Rodentia; Muridae. The record is from RefSeq and is a predicted model, not a curated record. The transcript is spliced from 3 exons.
UGCUGCCUGCUUUUCCCAGCUGAGGGAGCCGACGUUCUCGCCCGAGCCCCAAGGCAGAGGAAACCCAUGGGUUCCUCACUGCCCUGCCAGGCCCUUCCACAUAGUUUGAACCCAGGGAACCUCUUGGCAAGAUGAUCAUCUGGCAAAGUGUAAGGCCUGAGGUGAAGGAGCCGUGCCAGCACCCAGGAGCAGGGUUUCAUGGUGCUCACGAACUUGUUACAUAAACUAGGCUGGCGUCAAACUCACGGAAAUCUCCAGGGCUGGCUUAUUUAUUUAUUUAUUUAUUGCUUGUAUUUCUGUUCUAGUGGGCCAAACUCUAGAAAAGUCUAGAGAGAUCAGAAAUAUACAGCCCAGUGAUUGAUGCCAUUACAGGCAUAAUGGUAUGAUGGGGCCUUCAAACCAGCCUGGGGGCUAGAGGACACUGUUCUGGAGAGGUGAGGCUGACGUGCAGUUUGAAGAAUAAGACUGAGCUGAACUCAGCAGGGACGGUGAAAGGUGUGACAGUGGACGUCAUGUACAGAGACUAAGGCAGGGACGGUGAAAGGUGUGACAGUGGACGCCAUGUACAGAGACUAAGGCAGGGACGGUGAAAGGUGUGACAGUGGACGCCAUGUACAGAGACUAAGGCAGGGACGGUGAAAGGUGUAACAGUGGACGUCAUACACAGAGGCUAAGGCAGGGACGGUGAAAGGUGUAACAGUGGACGUCAUACAUAGAGGCUAAGGCAGGGACGGUGAAAGGUGUGACAGUGGACGUCAUACAUAGAGGCUAAGGCAGGGACGGUGAAAGGUGUGACAGUGGACGCCAUGUACAGAGACUAAGGCAGGGACAGUGGAAGGUGUAACAGUGGACGCCAUGUACAGAGACUAAGGCAGGGACGGUGAAAGGUGUGACAGUGGACGCCAUGUACAGAGACUAAGGCAGGGACGGUGAAAGGUGUGACAGUGGACGCCAUGUACAGAGACUAAGGCAGGGACGGUGAAAGGUGUAACAGUGGACGUCAUACACAGAGGCUAAGGCAGGGACGGUGAAAGGUGUAACAGUGGACGCCAUGCACAGAGGCUAAGGCUAAAGGUGUAACACUGUCUGUAACAGUGGACACCAUGCACAGAGACUAAGGCAGGGACGGUGGCCAGUUUGGAGCUCACAGCUGUUGUCUUAAUGCAUUGUCCCCUGGCCUCAUGCACAGGAGUUCUCAAGCCUGUCAAGCCCCGACACCUGGGAGUCACCAUGUCUGUUUAGAACCAACUCGUUUCUUUAUUUGUUUUUUUGUUGUUGUUGUUGUUUUGUUUUGUUUUUUUUAAGAGUCUUGCCAAAUAACCCGGGCUGCCCUCACACUCAUGGCAGUCGUGGGUGCUGGGAUUACAGUGUCUCACUCUAAGCUUCCAGCUAGUUUUUGAGUAAAUGGGACAUGUUUUGUCUAGAGGCAGGAGAAAACUUCUUACUGUGUUUUGCCCAUAUUUCCAAAA